UCUCCAUUACCGGUGAAGGAAUCAUCACCAAUGAAGUCGAAGGCGGAGUCGGCAGGGUUAGAGCGCUUCUAGGGUUUAACCGAUCCCCAGCCGUCGGGGUUGAAGGGGACGGCGCCGAUUUCAAAGCCUACCAUGUUGUUUUUCGAUUUGAUUGAGGUGAAAGAGUGAAGAUGAGUGAGAGAUAGGGGAGGGUGUAGAGAUUGGGAUUUGGGAGAGCAGAGAACUGCUUCAGAUGUUGGAAGCGAUGUUGGAAGGCUAGGAGAGAAAAAGACUAUACGUCUUUUGAUUUUAAGUGUUCAAGCUUCGUGUUUUU
RNAcentral lists this long non-coding RNA (313 nucleotides) under Panax ginseng (ginseng). Its description in RNAcentral is "long non-coding RNA (PGIN_LNC014218)". The record is from RNAcentral. Lineage: Eukaryota; Viridiplantae; Streptophyta; Magnoliopsida; Apiales; Araliaceae.